CCUACGGGCGGCAGCAGUGAGGAAUAUUGGUCAAUGGACGAGAGUCUGAACCAGCCAAGUAGCGUGAAGGAUGACUGCCCUAUGGGUUGUAAACUUCUUUUAUAAAGGAAUAAAACGAGGCACGUGUGCCUUUUUGCAUGUACUUGAUGAAUAAGGAUCGGCUAACUCCGUGCCAGCAGCCGCGGUAAUACGGAGGAUCCGAGCGUUAUCCGGAUUUAUUGGGUUUAAAGGGAGCGUAGAUGGGUUGUUAAGUCAGUUGUGAAAGUUUGGGGCUCAACCGUAAAAUUGCAAUUGAUACUGGAAGUCUUGAGUACAGUUGAGGUAGGCGGAAUGCGUGGUGUAGCGGUGAAAUGCUUAGAUAUCACGAAGAACCCCGAUUGCGAAGGCAGCUUACUAAACUGUGACUGACAUUGAUGCUCGAAAGUGUGGGUAUCAAACAGGAUUAGAUACCCCAGUAGUC
This 460-nucleotide ribosomal RNA is filed under the name uncultured bacterium. RNAcentral's name for it is "partial 16S ribosomal RNA". It matches the Rfam family "Bacterial small subunit ribosomal RNA", at positions 338 to 795 of the family's 1533-position model. The record is from RNAcentral.